RNAcentral lists this ribosomal RNA (421 nucleotides) under uncultured bacterium. RNAcentral's name for it is "partial 16S ribosomal RNA". It matches the Rfam family "Bacterial small subunit ribosomal RNA", at positions 360 to 774 of the family's 1533-position model. The record is from RNAcentral.
AAUUUUCGGCAAUGGGGGCAACCCUGACCUAGCGAUGCCUCGUGAGUGAAUAAUGACUUCGGAUUGUAAAGCUCUGUUGUAUGUGAAGAACCGUACCAUUAUGUAUUUACUGCUACCUGACUGUACCUUCCUAGUCAGCCUCUGCUACUCACAUCCUGUCAGCCGCGGUAAUACGUAGGUGGCAAGCGUUAUCCGGAAUUAUUGGGCGUAAAGGGAGCGCAGGCGGCUUAUUAAGUCUGAGGUUAAAGUUCGGGGCACAACCCCGUGAGGCCUUAGGAACUGGUAGACUAGAGUGCAAGAGAGGUGAGUGGAAUGCCAUGUGUAGCGGUAAAAUGCGUAGAUAUAUGGAGGAACACCAGUGGCGAAGGCGGCUCACUGGCCUGUAACUGACGCUGAGGCUCGAAAGCGUGGGGAGCAAAUA